Molecule: ribosomal RNA, 877 nt
Filed under: uncultured bacterium
Lineage: Bacteria
Description: bacterial SSU rRNA
Rfam family: Bacterial small subunit ribosomal RNA
Source: RNAcentral
CGUAGGCGGAUAUUUAAGUCAGAUGUGAAACCCCCAGGCUUAACCUGGGGACUGCAUUUGAAACUGGGUAUCUAGAGUGCAGGAGAGGUAAGUGGAAUUCCUAGUGUAGCGGUGAAAUGCGUAGAGAUUAGGAAGAACAUCAGUGGCGAAGGCGGCUUACUGGACUGUAACUGACGCUGAGGCAUGAAAGCGUGGGUAGCAAACAGGAUUAGAUACCCUGGUAGUCCACGCUGUAAACGAUGAAUACUAGGUGUGGGAGGUAUCGACUCCUUCCGUGCCGCCGCUAACGCAAUAAGUAUUCCGCCUGGGGAGUACGAUCGCAAGAUUAAAACUCAAAGGAAUUGACGGGGGCCCGCACAAGCAGCGGAGCAUGUGGUUUAAUUCGAAGCAACGCGAAGAACCUUACCUGGACUUGACAUCCCCUGAAUAACCUAGAGAUAGGCGAAGCCCUUCGGGGCAGGGAGACAGGUGGUGCAUGGUUGUCGUCAGCUCGCGUCGUGAGAUGUUAGGUUAAGUCCUGCAACGAGCGCAACCCUUAUCCUUAGUUGCUACCAUCAAGUUGAGCACUCUAAGGAGACUGCCCGGGUUAACCGGGAGGAAGGUGGGGAUGACGUCAAAUCAUCAUGCCCCUUAUGUCCAGGGCCACACACGUGCUACAAUGGUGAGUACAGAAAGAUGCAAUACCGUAAGGUGGAGCAAAACUCUAAAACUCAUCCCAGUUCGGAUUGCAGGCUGCAACUCGCCUGCAUGAAGCCGGAGUUGCUAGUAAUCGCGAAUCAGCAUGUCGCGGUGAAUACGUUCCCGGGCCUUGUACACACCGCCCGUCACACCAUGAGAGCUGGCAACACCCGAAGUCCGUGAGGUAACUCGUAAGAGA